GUGUUAUGUCAGUCUUAUGCACACCCCUUCAAAUAAAGUGUUACCGAAUAUUCUUUAAACAAAAAACAUCCUCUUUCUAUGGUGCCAAAAUAAACUGUGCUAAGUGAAACAAAACAUAUUUCAAUAAAUAACACAUUUUAUCCUCAUCCAUUAAAUAAAAGAAAUCUGGAUAAACGUCAAGUAUUUUAGUAAAUAAAUAAUUUCUUAAAGUCAGGUACAAAGGACAAUACAACAAAAAGUGCACUUCACUCUCAAUUUCCCCCCAAAUCACACAAUGAACAUCGUCGGUCUUCCUCUGGGACUGAACAAAAACGUCCGGUUUCUGGCAAAGUGCCAGAUCUAAACUGUAAUAAUAGUCACACAUUAAUAAUGUGUGACUAUUAUUAAUUAUUGAAUUAUUUUUUCACUAUAUUCAACUUGGACUUUUUUUUUUACACAGCAUGAAGCUGUUCUCAUGUUGGCUCCUUUAACACCAAUGUGUGUCAUUUAUUGAUUCCAAAGUUUCUACUGAAUAAACUUUGGUUGAGUAUGGUAGUAACCACAACAUCUUUAUAGUCAUAUUGGCAUAUGAACAGAUGUAAACAUGUCCCUCCAGGAGGACACGCAGAGGAAGCCCAGGACAGGCUGGAGGGACAGAGUCCCUCAAAUUAACCAAAGACUCCGAGAAGUCACUAUGAGCUACCAGUUUAGUCCAAUUAUUAA
Poecilia latipinna (sailfin molly) is the source of this 702-nucleotide long non-coding RNA. RefSeq lists it as uncharacterized. NCBI's taxonomy places the organism in Eukaryota, Metazoa, Chordata, Actinopteri, Cyprinodontiformes, Poeciliidae. The record is from RefSeq and is a predicted model, not a curated record. The transcript is spliced from 2 exons.